Molecule: long non-coding RNA, 1854 nt
Filed under: Marmota monax (woodchuck)
Lineage: Eukaryota; Metazoa; Chordata; Mammalia; Rodentia; Sciuridae
Source: RNAcentral
CGGAAUCGCAUCAACUCGCAAAGGUCCAGAUGUCGCUCCUCCCCUGGACCACUUCCACCAAUCACGCCGGGCUUCGGACGAUUGACAAGCCCAAUGCCCAACCCGCCUGGCCCAGCUAGGGAGGCUAAAGCGAAUCGGGAUGAGUCUUAAAGAUUUGGGGCCUGUUUUAAUUUUAAUUGGUCGUUUUGGGCCAAGGAAGUUACGGAAAGUGGUGGAGUGAGAGCUGGCUGCCCAGAACACCUGUCAGGUUGUCCCUCGGCUGAUCAGAAAGCGGGUGGAGGGCGUGCCUUUCCUUUCUUAUUGGGCCUGAAGUAAAGCAGACUGCUGCCCCACCCCGACCCCGACCCCGCUGCCCGCCUCGUCCGCGUCUCAGCAAGUGGCCGCUCCACGGCUCCCUGCGCUCAAGCCAGCCCCCCUGGAAGGGUGUCACGGAGCGCACGGGCGGGUUGUCUAGCGAGUCCGAAGAGUGGGAUCCACGGACACGGGGUGUGAAGCAGCAAAGUGACGGGGUUCAUUGGAGUACAGGAAAGCAGAGCUCCCGAGAGGGUAGGGCCCCUAGACAGGGCUGCCCGCGGGUCGUUGUCGGGGGUUUCUGUUCGUUACUGAUGAGGAAAAGCCUUCUGGCGCAAUUGAAAGUGUAAGAUCCUGAUUUCUUAUUCCCAUAUGGAUGGGUUUAAUGUCUUUGCUCACCUCACUUUGUCCUGAACUUGUUCCUUAAAACAAAAGAACUGCUUGAGAUGAAAACAGCUCUUUGAGGUGGACUAAUGUGAGGGUCGUCAAGGAAAUCUGGGGUCACAAUAGAGUGUUGCGUGAUUAGGACUUUCCAGUCAGGAACCAAAAAUAAAUAAAUAAAAACCACCCUAUAGGGUUUCAGUCUGGGAUGGUGGGACCCCCUUCGAGGUCUGCAUUUCAAUCUUUCUCCUGCUGCGAAGGUAUAUUCUGACUUCUCAUUCUCACCCUUGUCCCCUCCUGUUGUUGCCUGUCUCUCAUACUUAGGUCAUCUUAUGAGAAGACACCAUCACAUGAUGGCGGUAGCCUGAAUUAGCUUCCUGGGACUGUCGUGUCACAGUGCUACAAACUGAGUGCCUUAAACAACAGAAGUUUAUUUUUCUAAAAUCUGGAGACCACAAUUCUAAAAUCAAGGUUUUGCAUAAUGAUGCUCUAUCUACAGUCUCCAGGGGAGGAAACUAUGCCUUUUCUAACUUCCCGUGGUGGCGGUCAUCUCUUGACGUUCCUUGCAGUGAAGCUGCAUCUCUCUAGUCUGUUUCGGUCACUAUGUGACAAUCUCCUUGUGUGUCUCUGUCCUCCCAUUGCGUUUUUCCUUUCUUGUAAGGAUACCAGUCCUGUUGCAUUUGGGCACACCCUAAUGACCUCAUCAUAAUUUGAUCAUCCAGAUUCCCCCUGCCAAAUAAGGUUAUAUUCACAAAAAUACUAGAGGUUAAGAUUUCAAAAUUUUGGGGGGAAGGCACAAUUCAACCCAUAACACCUGCUACAUUCCCUCCCUGAUUCCCUACAGUGACAGAUGAUAUUUUUUGUUUUGUUUGUGAUGCUGGGGAUGGAAUCCAGGGCCUUUCACAUGCUUAGUAGGCAUUUCUAUCACAGAGCUACAUCCCUAGCUCUAUAAUCCUUCCUAAAAGUCAGAUCAUUUCAGUCCUCUGCACAGAAUCCUCAAUUUCCUAUGUCACUCAGUAAAAUCCAAAGUUAGUUUGCUUCCAACCUCUAUAUGAUUGUCAUUCCCAAUCUCCUGCCAUUAUCCUUCUCACAACUGAAAGGAAAGCGAGGAAACAGGAGCAGGGCGAGUAAGAAAUGAAAGAGGGAGACCAGUCAGAGACACAUGAGACCAGUCAGACGACU